This 230-nucleotide non-coding RNA is filed under the name Anoxybacillus sp. Its description in RNAcentral is "T-box sequence". It matches the Rfam family "T-box leader". From Rfam's summary of the family: Uncharged tRNA acts as the effector for transcription antitermination of genes in the T-box leader family. T-boxes are found upstream of many aminoacyl-tRNA synthetase genes and some amino acid biosynthetic genes usually in Gram-positive bacteria. The record is from RNAcentral. Lineage: Bacteria; Bacillati; Bacillota; Bacilli; Caryophanales; Anoxybacillaceae.
AAAAAGCCGAUGAUGGAGAAGAGUAGUUAAGAGUACACAUGGCCAGAGAGGAAAUGCCAUAGGCUGAAAGCAUUUCUCCGUGAUGACUUAACGAAGGAACACUCCGUAGGUUUCUCUUUGAACGCGCAUGCUAGUAGAAGGGAACGCGUACCGGGCGUUAUCGGGAUAAAGCGGAAGCGUUUGAGCUUCAAUUAGGGUGGCACCACGGGAAAACGACUCUCGUCCCUAUU